GGGUUGUGAGGUUAAGCGACUAAGCGUACACGGUGGAUGCCCUGGCAGUCAGAGGCGAUGAAGGACGUGCUAAUCUGCGAUAAGCGUCGGUAAGGUGAUAUGAACCGUUAUAACCGGCGAUUUCCGAAUGGGGAAACCCAGUGUGUUUCGACACACUAUCAUUAACUGAAUCCAUAGGUUAAUGAGGCGAAC
Molecule: ribosomal RNA, 192 nt
Filed under: Escherichia coli
Lineage: Bacteria; Pseudomonadati; Pseudomonadota; Gammaproteobacteria; Enterobacterales; Enterobacteriaceae
Also listed under: 1 other name
Description: partial 23S ribosomal RNA
Rfam family: Bacterial large subunit ribosomal RNA
Source: RNAcentral